AGACAGCAAAUUAAACACUGAAG
RNAcentral lists this non-coding RNA (23 nucleotides) under Cricetulus griseus (Chinese hamster). Lineage: Eukaryota; Metazoa; Chordata; Mammalia; Rodentia; Cricetidae. The record is from RNAcentral.